Molecule: microRNA precursor, 210 nt
Organism: Oryza rufipogon (brownbeard rice)
Lineage: Eukaryota; Viridiplantae; Streptophyta; Magnoliopsida; Poales; Poaceae
Rfam family: MIR812 microRNA precursor family
Source: Rfam
AAUAAGUGCAAUAAUAAGUUUUCGUGUACAACUUUAAUCGUCUGUCUUAUUUAAAAUUUUUUUUAUGAUUAGUAAGUAUUUUUUAGAUAUUAGAUUAUAAAACGUGAAUAGAAAUUUAUGUGUGAUUUAUGUUUUUUUAUAUUUUUUCAAAAAAGAUUAAAUAAGUUGGAAGAUUAAAGUUGUGUACGGAAAUUCAUGGCCAUGUUUAUU